This 461-nucleotide ribosomal RNA is filed under the name Gemella morbillorum. RNAcentral describes it as "bacterial SSU rRNA". It matches the Rfam family "Bacterial small subunit ribosomal RNA", at positions 28 to 476 of the family's 1533-position model. The record is from RNAcentral. Lineage: Bacteria; Bacillati; Bacillota; Bacilli; Caryophanales; Gemellaceae.
GACGAACGCUGGCGGCGUGCCUAAUACAUGCAAGUCGAGCGAAGUUUUUCUGGUGCUUGCACUAGAAAAACUUAGCGGCGAACGGGUGAGUAACACGUAAAGAACCUGCCUCAUAGACUGGGACAACUAUUGGAAACGAUAGCUAAUACCGGAUAACAGUAUUUCUCGCAUGAGAGAUAUUUAAAAGUUGGUUAUGCUAACACUAUGAGAUGGCUUUGCGGUGCAUUAGCUAGUUGGUGGGGUAAAGGCCCACCAAGGCGACGAUGCAUAGCCGACCUGAGAGGGUGAUCGGCCACACUGGGACUGAGACACGGCCCAGACUCCUACGGGAGGCAGCAGUAGGGAAUCUUCCGCAAUGGGCGAAAGCCUGACGGAGCAACGCCGCGUGAGUGAAGAAGGAUUUCGGUUCGUAAAGCUCUGUUGUUAGGGAAGAAUGGAUAUGUAGUAACUAUACAUAUAAG